Molecule: non-coding RNA, 963 nt
Organism: Oreochromis niloticus (Nile tilapia)
Lineage: Eukaryota; Metazoa; Chordata; Actinopteri; Cichliformes; Cichlidae
Source: the annotation of a RefSeq genome assembly
GUGAAAGUAGUUAAAAGUAAGAGAAUACAGAAGUAGGCUUUCAGUGGAAACAGCGGCUUGGCAGCUGAAAAGGAAGUGGUCUGUUAGACCCUAACAUCAUAAUAACAUCAAAAUAGAUACAAGAUGAGGUCUCACUGGAUUAUAUCGAUUCUUACUGAACUGAUCACAUCUGGGUUCUGGAUGCUGCUUGUUCCUGCUGCUGAGGUCCAACACGUCCAGCUGGGUUCAACAGCCAGCGUGGGCUGUAACCUCUCCUAUCUUUAUGACACAACGUGGCUUAAGCAUCACCCAGAUAAACCUCCCACCAUCAUCUUCUCUGCCAGCCUCAAAGAGGGACGACCCAUCCAAGGGUUUCAGCUCAACAGUCGUUAUACAGUGACUUUGGUGAACCGCUCUCUGGCACUGAUGAUCUCCGGUAUCGAGGACAGAGACCUGGGGCUGUACUACUGUGUUUCCUACGUAAACUCAGACUUAAAAAUUGGGGAAGGAACCAAGCUUCAGGUUUCAGGUUUAUCUCGGUUUCUUUUUAAUCACUGGUACUGCGUGAUCUCGGGUUUCAUCCUCAUGAUUAUGGUACUGGCUGUUUGUGUCACCCACUGGAAAGCUCGAGUGAAGGAGAAGAAGAAGAAGACCGCCAUCCAGACCAGAUGCUGACAUCACCCGUAAAUAUAUGACAAAUAGUAGCAAUACCUCAACUCUGACACCAACUACACUUUCACAGCUGACAGUUUAUGCCCACUAUUAUAUGGAUUCAAUGUAUUAAUGUUGCAUUUGUAUAUAUACAACCUGUGUGUGUAUGUCUGUGUUUUUAUUUUGUGUGUAAAGUGUAGAUUCUUUUGUUUUUCUUCCACUUCUUAUUUAUGGCAAUCUUAUGUUGGGUUGCUAAAUGCACUGUAUUUUUUCCUUCAAGUAGUUAAAAUGAUUUGUUGCUAUUUUGCUUAUAAAUACAAAAACAUGUGUAGA